CCUACGGGUGACAGCAGUGAGGAAUAUUGGUCAAUGGACGAGAGUCUGAUCCAGCCAAGUAGCGUGAAGGAUGACUGCCCUCUGGGUUGUAAGCUUCUUUUAUAUGGGGAUAGAAUGUUACACGUGUGGGCUUUUGUAUGUACCAUAUGAAUAAGGAUCGGCUAACUCCGUGCCAGCAGCCGCGGUAAUACGGAGGGUCCGAGCGUUAUCCGGAUUUAUUGGGUUUAAAGGGAGCGUAGGUGGGUGGUUAAGUCAGUUGUGAAAGUUUGCGGCUCAACCGUAAAAUUGCAGUUGAAACUGGCAGGCUUGAGUACAGUAGAGGUGGGCGGAAUUCGUGGUGUAGCGGUGAAAUGCUUAGAGAUCACGAAGAACUCCGAUUGCGAAGGCAGUUCACUGGACUGCAACUGACACUGAGGUUCGAAAGUGUGGGUAUCAAACAGGAUUAGAUACCCGAGUAGUC
Molecule: ribosomal RNA, 460 nt
Filed under: uncultured bacterium
Lineage: Bacteria
Description: partial 16S ribosomal RNA
Rfam family: Bacterial small subunit ribosomal RNA
Source: RNAcentral